CUCUUUCAAUGUGCGCCGUGCAUCUUGCAACUCAUCAUUACUUUGGCGCUCUUUCAACAGGAGAGUCUGGUUUAGGGACUCCAUACCAUCCAUCUCCUCCAUUUUAUCUUUCAGCUCCUCAUUCAUCUCUUUAAUCUUAUUUUGUACAGCUGCAUCGUCAUUGCCUCCAAGGUGCUUCAUAACCUCUAGUUUUCCUUUAAGUUCUGCUAUUUCCAUUUCCAGUUUUUGCUUCGCAUCAAUGUCCCUCUCUAGCUCAAGAAUCUUUUUCAAGGCCUCCUCCUUCUCCCUCUGGAUAUUUAACAUCAACAUGAGUAAAGCUCUGUUAACUUUGUGCUAACAACAAUGGCAGAAACCCCAACUUGCAGGUUUUGCAAGAACCAUAUGCAGAAAUAUCCUUGCUCAAAAAAUAAAUACACACGCAAAGAGAGAGAGAGGAGCAGGGGGGGAGAAACAUGAUUAUGAAUGACACCUUUUGUUCUUCAACCAGUCUCAAGACACUCACAUCAGCUUUUCUUUGUUCCACAGAGGCCAUUUGAAGUGCUGAAUUUCUCACAUCAUUCUGAAUCAACAAAAUAAAGUUCAACACAUUAUAGUUCGAAAGAGUUAGCUUUAGGGGACCAGAAGCUUGAAAGAUACAUUCUACCCACAUAAUAUAGGCACAAUGGAGCGCCAAAAUAAUGUAAGCCACUGCAGCUUUAUCAUGAUAAGAGAGAAAUAUUUAUAUAUAAUUUUAACUCAUGCUGGAAUUUGAUACCUGUUUCUUCUCCUCAUCAAGCUUUUGCUUUUCUCGCUCAGUUAAGGCUUCACGUUUAUUCAGUUCUCUUCCCCAAGAAUCAAGCUUCUUCUUCUUGCUCUCCAGCUCUAAGCUUAACAUUUCCUGCUCCAGCAGGACCUUCUGUACAUGCUCACGUGCAAGGCGUUGCAUCUUUCGUGAUUCUGCACAAGUACACCUUAGUUAUACUUUAGAAACUAGUGGAACUUUCUAUUAACUGAUGAAUAUCCAAAAAAGGAGCUCUUUAGCUUGUGAUCUUUGUCAAUCAAGGAUCUAGUGACACCUUACUUCAAAGCAAAUGUAAGAUGCAUAAAGUUAGUUACAUAUUAAAUAAAACUAUUUUAAAGAGACACGCUCUAGUUAAUCCCUUUCGUCCAAGUAAUAAAUGAAACAAGCUAAUUAUAGAGUGGAUGAAAAAGAACUGGCACUUUACAAUGUCAAGUCUAAACAUUUUACCAAUCAGACACAUGGCAGGGACAUCAGAUAAGAAACAUAAAUUUCACAGUAUCUGCAGACCAAAUAGAACAAUAAAAAAAAAAAAAAAAAAGUUCGCAACUAAAAACCUUCAAAAAAAGAACGGUGUAGCAUGUCUUUCUCCGCGAGCAUCUGACGAAGAGACAGUGUAUUCAAAUUGAAUUUUGUCUGCAGCUCAUCCAGAUUUUCAUUUUUCAUGUCAAUUUCAUUGGCUAGAUUUGCUACAACUUCCUUUCUACCCUGUGUUUCUUCUUUAAUAAGGUCCGAGAUAGUCUUCAGUUCCCCCUUCUCUCGCAGAUAUUCGCCUAAAGCCCCUUCUGUUAUAUAAUCAUCUUCUCGGGCAACCCAUCCAUAUAAAUUUGGACCAGGGCAAUCUCUAUGGGAUUUCCAUUCUUGUUUGCUGCAGUGAGAGGCUUCGAAAGACUUCUCAAAUUCCAUCGCACCCUUAAAACCAGUCCAAUCACUAUUAAAUCUCACAACAGCUUCGGAGACUGUUGCUUGGUUAUCACAGAAAAGCUUAACUUCCAAAGGCAUAUACAAGGAGAACUUUUUUAACCAAUACUCCUUGUCAUCUGGAGAUCUUCCAUUUGCUGUUUCCUUUGAUACAUUAACGAAAAUCCCAGUCCAAGGCCAAAAGAACAGUUCAUCUUUUUCAGAUUCUGAACGCUCUGGAGUCACAGCACGUUUAGGUAUUGGCUCAGCCUCAUUCACUAGGUCUGUUUCCAGAUACUUUGCAAGUGCUAAAUGGUUUGCCUUCUGUUUAGCACUACGGUUAGCUGAACCCUUGCCAACCCCUGUAGCAUGUUGAAGAAGAUCUUUGUACUUGUAGUCUUGCUUUUUCUUCCCUGCACAGAAGGGACAUCUAAGGGAUCCAUUUGGGCCCUUAACUUUCAGUUUUCCUUUUCUUAAUUCUUCAUAAGGCUUCUCUUUAAACUCAAAAAUCUCAGAGUCACUCAAAUCUGAUUCUUCGCCUGAACUGCUACUCAUCUGGAUUUGUUUAAAAAAAACUAGAGUUAAUUCUAAGGAUUGUACAUAAUUGAUAAUACAAACAAAUAUCAAGGCAAAUCAAGCAAAAUCUUAAACAAGCAAUUUAAUGGAAUUGAAUCAUAGCUGAAGAUGUUAACAAUAGCCUACAGCGCAUGUAAAAAGCAGGUAACACGCAGAAACUAUGAACGCAAGCAACUAAGAGGUCUUGAAUCAUAGCUGAGUAUGGUACAGAUAGCAUGCUUAAAUCCAUUAACAUAGAAGCUUUAGAACAAGCAGCUUAAAGAACUUGAAUCAUAGCUGAAGAUGUUAUAAGUAGCCUACAACACAGGUAGAAAUCAGUUAUAUACAGAAACUGCCCGCAACAAAGUACAAAAUUAAAGUGUUACCAGUCAACUGAAAGAGGGAAAUCACUAACUUUAAAUGAAACAAUACCGUUGAAAUACACCAUUUAGUUUUUUUUUGACAAUGGUAACUUUUUCUUCUAUUUAUCCACAGGUAUACUACAUCAAAGUAGCCCCUCUCCAAAAGUAUUACAAACUAGACCAAUUCCAUCUGUGCUUUUUGUCACAAAUAGUCUAAAACAUAUUUUCGAUUACUCUAAUUUGAAAUUCCUAACAGUAGUCAAAACUAUUUUAAAGUAUGAAUCAACAAUUUUAUUUAGUGAUCAAUGUAGCCCAACACAAGAAGCUGAAACUCAAAGCUAUCUGUGAAAACCAUCCAAUUUGCACUUGAUGAGGUAGAAUAGGAUUUGAAACAGCUCUUAACUAGAACUAGAAAACAAAAAGGAAGUAACACAAGUAGAUUAAAGAUCCAUUUGGAAAACAUAUCUUAAAACAAAACAGUUUUAUCAGAAUAUUAAGGGUGGGGUUUAUGGUUACUGAUAAACUAACCAAUGCAUAACCUUAACUCUUAACUGACAGCAUGAACUAAGCACAUAAACCCCUUGGACAGGAAAUAAGUUUUUUGUGCACUUGAUUUAGAAUAAUUAAAACUGCAGUUUAGGAGGAGAUUAACAAAUACCGACCCAGAGCCCAUUGACCCUGUACAAUCGUACGCUGAAAAAUCAGGCUAUAAACACAGAUUUCAAGUCUCUACCAUAAAAUUAGAUUACUAACAUUUGAGUACCAUGUAUUAACAAAAUGUUUGAGCUAAGAAGUGGUCACAUUCUUAAAGACAACGCAAGGAAAUCCAGAGUUCCAAACACACACACACCAAAAAAAUGGAAGCAAAAUAACAUUUCAGAUGUAACAGCCGAGAAUCAUCGCAGCUCUGAUUAAGCCUAAAUUCAUAAAACCAAUCGCUAAUACUGCAAAACCCUAACCCUAAACCCACAGAACUAAGGACAACAAAGGCAUAAAAAAGCUUGUAGACAACAAAAAUAACAAGUUUCAGCACAAAAAAAGAGAUAAAAAUCGAAAUUAUAACAACAAAUUGGAGAAAAAAUAGAUCAUUUUCUGCGUUCUGAUACCUCUACGAAAAGGAACGAUGAACUUGAUUGAGAGAUUUCUGAGCUCUAACAACAAAAUGCAGGCGACACCGACGGAGUUUGGAAUUUCGAUUGGGUUCCAAUUUUAUGAGUAGAAAAAGGAAAAACCUAAGGUAAAAAGAAGAGGGUCUCUGCAGACUGCAGUACCCCAGUACACACUCAGAUGGAGUAGCGUAUGGAUGCCACGUGUAGAAGGACAAGACUAAAGGGGUUGCAUUUCUUUCAUUUUGACACUUCAACCCUCAAGUUUAUUUCGGUUAAAUCUUUAACCCAUAUCAAAGUAUUUUAUUUGGGCCAAUUUUUUACUAAAGAAAUGUAUAAAAUAGAGUGCGUAGAUUUUAGUGAAAAUUGCGCAAAACCGACAAACAUCUCCAAGUAUAUUAUUAUGUAAAAUGACUAUAUUUUUAAUUAUUUUAAACUUGCGGCUAAAGUUUUUUUUUUUUGCGAAAUUUUUCUAUUCAACUUUUAAUUGUAUAAAUUCAGAAUUUGUAUAAUUCACCUUGAUUGUAUAAAUCUAGAAUUUGUAAAUGACUGUAACUAUUUGCAUAUUAUUUAUGAAAAAUAAUAAAUUAUCAUGUUUGUAUAUUAGCAAGAGAAAUAUACAAAUGAAAUGCUAAGAAAUUCAUAAAUGUAUAAAUAUAAAAUUUGUAUAUACUUAUCCUGUUUCGCAAGCGAAAUAUAAAAAAUUGAAUAUAUUCUAAGCUACAUGACUUGGGCUACAUGUUAUUUCUAAGGGAAUUUACACAAAUCACAGUGUUAACUAAUUAAAUCAUAUUUCUAACUCUUUUCAAAUUUACAAAAAAAUCAUUAAAUUUGGUGGAAUUCGGAUACAUCUCAAAAUGUUACGAUACAUCGCGUACUGAUUUCAGAUACAUUCCUCAACAUUUUGAUACAUCGCGUCUCAAUUUUGAUUACAUUACUCAAUGUUUUGAUACAUCACGGAAAGUGAUGUAUCCCAGAAUAUGAGAGAAGGAAUUUUUGUAAUUUUUUUAAAUGAUAGAAAAUUGUAAAAUAUAUGGUAAAAUGAGCGGUAUAUUUAGAUAAUUUUUCCUAUUUCUAAUCCAUUUCCCAUUUUCCAGGCAUUGAUUGGAAAUUGGAAAUGUUCUUUUGGAGUUGAAGAAAUAUUGGGCCUUUUAAUAUUGCAGCCAAGGAAAAUGAUGGGCUUUUAAUUGUUGGUUAGUGUGAUUGGCAUUACUAUGUGGACUAGCCCAGUUUGAGUUUUGGUGCCUACCUUUGCAGUUUAGUGUUUGUCCUUUUCAUAAUGAUGAUGGAGAAUAACUUCUAAAUCUAUUGAUCAAGAUUGCGGUGGACGGGUAAGUAUAAUCAGAGUUUUUGAAUUUAAGUUUUCUUUUGUACGUAGGUGCCUUUAAUAGGAGCAUUUUACCUGCACGAAUCCGAAUUUAGUUGAGCCCUAAUAUAAAAAUUGAACAUCAGAUGAAAUUAUUUAAAAAAAAAUAUACUCUAAGUAAAUGAAGAAAUGAAUAAAGGUGUAACAAGAUAAGCUUGAGCCUAACGUUUUAGACCGAUAUUAGGUACAUAGCGUAAAAUAGCAUACUACUAUAGUCCUACAAGCUUCUAAUUUUAAUUAACUUUGUAGCUAGAAUUGAUGCUCAUUUUAUUAUUCACUCUAAAAAGAAGAAUAAAAAAAUUAUGAACCGUUUAAAAGUUGUUAAAAGUGGAAAAUAGUAAUAUUCAAUUGUGAAUUCCAAAGACGGAUUUAGUACAUAACAUAUAAGUUCAUAUGAAUUUAACAACUUUCGUUUAAAUGAACGGAUUUAGUAUUCAUUUUUUUAAAAAAAAAUAUCUUUAAAUGUUUGAUUAUGAGUUAUCUUUUUAGAUUAACUUGAGAUAGUUAUGCAAAACAAUAAAUUUCAAAUUCUGACUACGUUUCUGACUCCAAUCAAAACUUCAAAACUCCAUUGAGUGAAAGAAAUAUUAUUGAAGAGAAUUAUUGCCACUCUAAUCCAUUCAUGUAAGAUAAGUAUUCUUGUUGUUUUCCAUGUGUAAAAAAGCAGGUCUAUACUCUAUAUACCUAAAAUUCUAUACCAGACAAUAACUAUAAAUUAGAAGGACCUGUGCAUUUGAAAUGACAUUUCUGAUCUUAAUAUAGAAAUUUGUUUUGUUUCACAUUUUAUAUCUUAAUUCUUUACCUUGUUAUUCUAAAAGAAAAAUGAAACAUAGUCAUCAAGCAGACGAGCAUUCUUUACCUUGAGUUUUAUUCCUCAAUCAGUAAUAAGUCUUUUCAAUGUCAUUUUAUUUCACCAAACUCCGUCCGUGCGAACUUACUUACAUUAAAAAACAGAGAGUUAUGAUAAGCUGACAAUCAAUAUAAACUUUACUUCCAUGAUACCUAAUGUGAUGAAGAUAUACAAUAAACUUAAAUAAAAGUAAAAAUUUAUAUAGUUAACCUAACUUAUUCAGUUCAGACUGAGAUGUAAUUUAUUUUAUAUAUAUAUAUAUAUGUAUCUUCUCCUUAUCGUAAGUUUCUAUUACUAGCCUAUACGAUUCCGCACAUCUUUAGGCAUUUGCUAUAUGAUAGUGGUAACAAAGGAAUAAUUAAAGCUUCUGAAUUUGGAUAUAUAUAUAUAUAUAUAUAUAUAUAUAUAUUCUUGUUUUUUACGUAAUGAAACGGAAGAAAAAUUAAUUAGUAUUAUUUUUAUAAAAAAACGACUUACACCUUCUCAGUAUUAUUUUUAUAAAAAAAAUAAAAAUUGAUCCACUAUUAUAAUGCUAUAUUAAUAUAUGACAAGUCAAUUCUUUUCAUAUUCUUUUAUUUAAUGAUUAUGUGUGGAAAUUAAUUAUGCCAAUGUUUUUUUUUCAUUGGAGUUGUCACUAUUUAAAUGGUGGAUGCAAUGAGAAUUGAGAACCACCAAAAUUGUAGGAAAAAAGAAGAAGAAAUGGUGAUAAAAUAAAGAUAAAGAAGGAGAAUAAUUAAGAAAGAAUAAAGACAAACGUGUCAUUGCCAAAGAUUCCCUGCAUUAUUAACGUUUAAUUUAAUAUAAUGUUUUCCACUUAAAGUUAUACUCAAAUAAAAGGGAAAAAAGAUAAAUAUACCCCCGAAUUAUCGUAAAUGAUAUGUCAAUACCCUCCGUUAUACUUUAUGAUUGUAUAUACCCUUACCGUCAAUAUUUUAGGUUGUGUAUACCCUUGAGACUAACGGUUGGACACAUGGCUACAUCUCAAUAAUUUACCUAAUAUUUAUUUUUUUAUCCGAAAUUAAAAAACAAAAACCACCCAUGUUCCCUAACCCAUCCAUAACCCGAAUUAAAACCUAUUUUCCAUAACAAUUCCCUUCAAACAGUGCUAAUUGUUCAUCUUCUUCUCUUCUUUAAUUCUCAAAAAAAUGUUGCACAAAUAAAAAAUUUCACUAACAUUAGCCUCUUUUUUUUGUGUGUGUGUUUAGAGUUCAUGGAUGAUUGCGCACAAAAUCAUCAAGUUAAUUUUGUGAUUGGCCACCGCAGUCGCCGCCUUCUUCUCCGAAGUUCACACAAACAUUUGAAUCAUUAGAAAUGAAAUUCGUGGCAUUUCUCUUGAUGAAAUGCAGUGAUUUUUUGUCGGUUGUGUCCGCCUUGAAGAGGCACCCAGCUUGGCAUUGACCUUGCUCAUUAAGACCGCCGAAAAAUCAUCGUCGACGACCAAUAGUGGUCUAUCCGAGUUCAAACCGUUUGAAUGAACCAAAAUUUCUUGAUGUUUGAUUUUUCGUCUGUUGAAACUAAUAGUUGGUUUUCGGUCUUUGAAACAAAUUGUGCAAGGCAAUUUAGUCAUUGUGCCCAUACAAUGAUGUAUAAGCUAAAUCUAUGUGGCUUAAACUCCAUGAUUGACCGCCUUCUCUCUCACUGUAAAGUCUUUUCAGCUUCAACGAGCAGCCAUGGCGAGGAACAAGUGAAAACGAAAUUAUGAUAAAAUCUGCACUCAGGCCACCAUUGAUGAGCUCUAUAGAAGAAAGGAAAGAAAGCUAAUAGAGAGCAAUUGUGUUGUGUUGAGAUUUUUAUUAUUCACACACUUCUAUAUUGAUCCUUACAAUCAUGGAUCCACUUAUAUACAGUGCAUUUACAAAGUUAGUUACUAACUAACUAUCCACUUGUCAACCUCUAAUUGGAAACUUAAUAACAAACUUCUUAACUAACUAAUCUAUACACAGUUAUCAACUAACUAUUCCUUCAUUUCUACAGUGAUGUUUUGGCACUUCAAUCUUCAAUGAGGAUUGCUGCAAUUUUAAUGUAAUUUUUUGUCAUUUCUCUGUCUUCCUCUUUAAUUUUUUUUAAGAUUUGAUUUAUAAAGUAUUGAUCUUUCAUAUGUAUGAACACCACAUAUUAAUAAGGGGUACCCAAAUCCAGCCAAAACUUCCAUUGAUUUUCAAAAAAGGUUUCAAGUGGGUUUAAAAUAGAAAUGGGGCGAUUUUUUUUUAAAUUUUGGACAAAAAUAAAUAAAUAAAUCGGGUUAGUCGUUGAAAUGAAGCCACGUGUUCAACCGUUAGUCGCAAGGGUAUACACAACCCAAAAUAUUGACGAUAAGGGUAUAUACAACCUUAAAGUAUAACAAAGGGUAUUAACAUACCAUUUACGAUAGUUCGGGGCAUAUUUAUCCUUUUUCCCCAAAUAAAAAGUUGUUAUAUAUUUAGUACAAAAUUCCUUCUUCUGGAAUAUGUUUUCCGAUUCGAGCCAAUGCCGGAGCCACAUGUAAUAAAGGGGAUUUAUGUAAAUUAGAAGAAAAAUAUUGCUGAAAAAUUAUAGUUUUAUAGAAGUAAAUUUUCUGAAUUCUCUUAAUAUUAGAAAAAUACAUGUUUAAAUUUAUGUGUGAUAAAAUAAAUUCUUAAAUUAAAAUUUUCAACUUGGUUACUGCUUUCCGCUAUGAUCAGAAAAUUUGAAACGUCAAACAAAUUAACAUCAAUACUUUUAAAAGCCUUGAAAUAUUGAGCUAGAGGAAAUAUUUGGAAGAACUAGCUAUUACCUUCUUCUUUUUUUGCCUUUCCAUCUAUAUUCGUAAUUCGCAUUGAAGUCCAACUAAUCUAAAUAUAUACGCAAGAUAUGCUACUCACCAAAGUUUUUUUUUUAUGAACUAGCUAUUACCCAUACAUAUAUACCUUGUCAAUUUUAAAAAAUAAAAUAAAUUUCACUAAAUAUUUGAUUAUAGAGAAUUUGUUUGUUUGACUUACUAUUCACGUAUACAAAUAAGAAAGCCAAAGUGGAAGGAAAAGAGAUACUACCAAUAUUGAAAUGCAUGGAUUAUUGCCGCUCUAUUAUAUUGUUGCCAUUAUUAUUGCCUUUGAUUUUGAAAUACAAUACGCCAAGGAUUAAGAGGUACUCCACACAUUUAUAUGAAACAAAAAUAUCUAUUCUCAGUACCCUUCCAAUUUAUUUUCAAUGUCUUUCACUUAUCCUUUUAUCUUUUAUCAUCCGUCUCUUCACCAUUGCUGUUAAUUUCUAUUUCUAGCUAGUCAGUUCAAACUUUGAUGAACAAACUUAUUUCCUAUUGCGAAAGAUGAUAAGUAUUCAGUGAAAUUAAUUAGUCGGGUGUAAGUGAGCUAGCUAGUCUUGUCAAUCCCAGGACGGAUGACAUAAGAAUUUUUUUCUUUCUAUUUUUAGUCAUCUUUCUAAAUAGUUUUUGUGAACAAAGUUAUUUAUUACUUGCGUGGGUAGAAGAUAAUAGGGAUCCCAAAAUUAAUUAGACGAAUGUGUGCAAGCUAUCUCAAUUUCUAGUCAUCGAACAAAGUUAUUCUGAAUUUGUAUUGGUCAAAGAUUUCAUUUACUCCAUGAAAUUAAUUGGUCGUGAGAUGAAAACAAAUUGAUUCAAACACUACGGUAAUAAAAAAAGUAGUUUAUUUUCAAUUGUCCAAGCCUAUUGGUGAACAAAUUAGUUAUUUGUUAUAUAUGUUGGUUUAAAAGAAUAGGUACUUCAAUAAAUUAAUUAGUUGAGUUACACUCGAACUGAUUCAGAAAUCCCGAUUAUAAUUUUUUUAUAUAUAUAUAUAUAUGAAUCCACCCCCCUACAAAUUAAAGUUGUUAUAACCUAAUGAAUUAAGCACAACAUAGAAGUUAGAACUUAUUCCUUUUAAUUAUAAACAAAUAAAAACGCCAUAAAGCAUUGAUCUAGUGCAUGCUAAAAUCAUUGAUUUAACAAAUAAUAGAUUCUUCUUAUGAUCUUCUUUUGCUUUAUGAUUAUGUUUAGAAAUUAAAUGAAAAAAAGGUGGUUGGGACAUUCUUUUUUAUUGCACUUUAAUGGUGAAGUACUGAGAGCCACCAAAAUCAGAAGAAAAAAGAAGUGAAGGAGAAGACACGAGAAAUAAAAAGAAAAGGACAAACCGUAAUACACAGUAAGUCUACGUUGUUGUUGAUUAAUUGGGAAAAGUUUUGACAUUUUCAUUAUUAAUAAAUAAAAAGAUUCCUUUGACAAUAUGCACUUUUAGUAUAUAUUUCCAGUUAAUCUUUUCACUAAAAGCAGUAGUAUAUUUUAUUUAGCACGAAACCCCAUGUGUUUGUGGAUUAGAGGAUGCCUUUUAUCAUUCCACUCAACUUAAGUUGGACCUCUAACUUCUUUGAAAAUAAAAUGUUAUCGAAUCUGAUUUAACGUUAAAAACUAGCUUAAGAGAUGAAGAUCGUUCAAAAUUAUAUAAAAAGUUUAAACUUUCUUCCCAUUGUUGAAAGUUUAACUACAUCACCAUCAAAUGCUUGUAUGGAUUCAACAAGGUUUUGACUACAUUAAGUAAUUGAAAAUCUUACUGAUACCGGAUAUCAUACCUCUUUCAAUGUGCGCCGUGCAUCUUGCAACUCGUCAUUACUUUGGCGCUCUUUCAACAGGAGAGUCUGGUUUAGAGACUCCAUACAUCCAUCUCCUCCAUUUUAUCUUUCAGCUCCUCAUUCAUCUCUUUAAUCUUAUUCUGUACAGCUGCAUCGUCAUUGCCUCCAAGGUGCUUCAUAACCUCUAGUUUUCCUUUAAGUUCUGCUAUUUCCAUUUCCAGUUUUUGCUUCGCAUCAAUGUCCCUCUCUAGCUCAAGAAUCUUUUUCAAGGCCUCCUCCUUCUCCCUCUGG
This 10747-nucleotide long non-coding RNA is filed under the name Solanum tuberosum (potato). RNAcentral describes it as "long non-coding RNA (STUB_LNC004180)". Lineage: Eukaryota; Viridiplantae; Streptophyta; Magnoliopsida; Solanales; Solanaceae. The record is from RNAcentral.